Artibeus jamaicensis (Jamaican fruit-eating bat) is the source of this 107-nucleotide small nuclear RNA. Lineage: Eukaryota; Metazoa; Chordata; Mammalia; Chiroptera; Phyllostomidae. The record is from RefSeq and is a predicted model, not a curated record.
GUGCUCACUUCGGCAGCACAUACACUAAAACUGGAACAAUACAAAAAAGAUUAGCCUGGCCCAUCCGCAAGGAUGACACACAAAUUUGUGAGGUGUUCCAUAUUUUU